This is a long non-coding RNA of Vidua macroura (Pin-tailed whydah), 762 nucleotides long. RefSeq lists it as uncharacterized. The record is from RefSeq and is a predicted model, not a curated record. NCBI's taxonomy places the organism in Eukaryota, Metazoa, Chordata, Aves, Passeriformes, Viduidae. The transcript has 3 exons.
CCAGCAGCGGUGGCGCUGAGAGCUCGUCUGUGAUUGGGCGCCUGCCGCAGUUCUCAGAGUAACAGGCACGGUGAUUGGAGGAGAGCUGAGGCGGCUGUUGUCUCGGCAACCGGGUGUCCGCAUUCCCGGUGCCGCCGACGGCCGGGAAUGCACCGACAGGAACGGGCACGUACCGGCAGGUACGGGCGGAUACAGAGCGCGCACCGCCCCUGAGCGGGUUCAGGGAUCUCCCCGGUGCUCCUCAGCCGCUCAGGUCAUCCCAACAUGGAUUCCCUCACCAAGGGAAUAACAUCUUCCUUCCAGCCAAGGACUUCCCACCUAACAAGGAACAAGGAAUUUACUCCAGAUUUAUUCCAGAGUCUGCAGCCUCAGCCACACAAACCUACCAGGGAAGCAAAGAAAGCUCCUUCCAGACAUUGUCUCCAUGAGAACAACAGGACAAUCAGGGAGCAGCUCAUAUUGGAGUGACUCUGACAGGGACAGAAAUGUGUCCAUGUUUCUGCAGCCCUGAGUCCCUUCCAGGACAAGGUUUAACUCAUGUUCUGACUCUCAGGGCAUCAGGGAGACACUGAGCUGUGUUAUCCUGCCCCUGGGGUACCCAACAGCCCUGACAUUCCCAAAGGAGCAGAGCAGCUGAUGGAUGGGAAGUACACACUGCUGCAUCCUCACCUGUUUGCAGAGUUGGGAACAGCGGGAGGGAGCACCUGGAAUGCAAAGGAAAUGGAUCUGUGAGUUUGCACAGCAUCACUGUGUGCUAGAGAG